UAAAAAAAAACAUUUCUCAACCAGCUAUUGCAAGGAAUUUAGGGAUUUCACCAUAUACUGUCUGUAAUAUCAUCACAAGGUUCAGAGAAUCUGGAGAAAUCACUGCACGUAAGCAGCAAGGCUAAAAGCCAACAUUAAAUGCCGGUGAUUUUGGAUCCCUCAGGUGGUACUGCAUCAAAAAGCGACAUCCGUGUGUAAAGGAUAUCACCACAUGGGCUCAGGAACACUUCAGAAAACUGCUGUCAGUGUGCUGCAGUUCUCCUACCCGUCCAGCAGAUGGCGAACGCAGCUCGUCCUUAAGAGCAGGUGUCGCUUUCACAACAUCACGGCAUCUGUUUACUUAGGCCUCACGGUGUCAGGAGAUUUCAUGAGUUCGGUGCUGAAGUGUGGAGGACGGCUGUUGGUGCGUUCUGGGACCUCUGGGUGUCGUCGUCACUGCCAUCUAUCAGCUGCUUUCAA
This is a long non-coding RNA of Nerophis ophidion (straightnose pipefish), 459 nucleotides long. RefSeq lists it as uncharacterized. NCBI's taxonomy places the organism in Eukaryota, Metazoa, Chordata, Actinopteri, Syngnathiformes, Syngnathidae. The transcript is spliced from 3 exons. The record is from RefSeq and is a predicted model, not a curated record.